Molecule: transfer RNA, 76 nt
Filed under: Gammaproteobacteria bacterium
Lineage: Bacteria; Pseudomonadati; Pseudomonadota; Gammaproteobacteria
Also listed under: 1 other name
Description: tRNA-Glu
Rfam family: tRNA
About the family: Transfer RNA (tRNA) molecules are approximately 80 nucleotides in length. Their secondary structure includes four short double-helical elements and three loops (D, anti-codon, and T loops). Further hydrogen bonds mediate the characteristic L-shaped molecular structure. tRNAs have two regions of fundamental functional importance: the anti-codon, which is responsible for specific mRNA codon recognition, and the 3' end, to which the tRNAs corresponding amino acid is attached (by aminoacyl-tRNA synthetases). tRNAs cope with the degeneracy of the genetic code in two manners: having more than one tRNA (with a specific anti-codon) for a particular amino acid; and 'wobble' base-pairing, i.e. permitting non-standard base-pairing at the 3rd anti-codon position.
Source: RNAcentral
GCUCCCUUCGUCUAGCGGCCCAGGACACCGGCCUCUCACGCCGGUAACAGGGGUUCGAUUCCCCUAGGGAGCGCCA